Molecule: ribosomal RNA, 729 nt
Filed under: Actinomycetes bacterium
Lineage: Bacteria; Bacillati; Actinomycetota; Actinomycetes
Description: bacterial SSU rRNA
Rfam family: Bacterial small subunit ribosomal RNA
Source: RNAcentral
UGGAUUAGUGGCGAACGGGUGAGUAACACGUGGGCAAUCUGCCCUGCACUCUGGGACAAGCCCUGGAAACGGGGUCUAAUACCGGAUAUGACUGCUGACCGCAUGGUUGGUGGUGGAAAGCUCCGGCGGUGCAGGAUGAGCCCGCGGCCUAUCAGCUUGUUGGUGGGGUGAUGGCCUACCAAGGCGACGACGGGUAGCCGGCCUGAGAGGGCGACCGGCCACACUGGGACUGAGACACGGCCCAGACUCCUACGGGAGGCAGCAGUGGGGAAUAUUGCACAAUGGGCGCAAGCCUGAUGCAGCGACGCCGCGUGAGGGAUGACGGCCUUCGGGUUGUAAACCUCUUUCAGCAGGGAAGAAGCGUGAGUGACGGUACCUGCAGAAGAAGCGCCGGCUAACUACGUGCCAGCAGCCGCGGUAAUACGUAGGGCGCGAGCGUUGUCCGGAAUUAUUGGGCGUAAAGAGCUCGUAGGCGGCUUGUCGCGUCGGAUGUGAAAGCCCGGGGCUUAACUCCGGGUCUGCAUUCGAUACGGGCAGGCUAGAGUUCGGUAGGGGAGAUCGGAAUUCCUGGUGUAGCGGUGAAAUGCGCAGAUAUCAGGAGGAACACCGGUGGCGAAGGCGGAUCUCUGGGCCGAUACUGACGCUGAGGAGCGAAAGCGUGGGGAGCGAACAGGAUUAGAUACCCUGGUAGUCCACGCCGUAAACGUUGGGAACUAGGUGUGGGCGACA